GUGUGUUACAGCACAUGUACUAAGAUUGGAACAACACAGAGAAGAUUAGCAUAGUCCCUGCACAAGGAGGACAUGCAAAUUUGUGACGUGGUCCAUAGUUUU
This is a small nuclear RNA of Hippopotamus amphibius kiboko, 102 nucleotides long. The record is from RefSeq and is a predicted model, not a curated record. Lineage: Eukaryota; Metazoa; Chordata; Mammalia; Artiodactyla; Hippopotamidae.